Molecule: long non-coding RNA, 1563 nt
Filed under: Lonchura striata (white-rumped munia)
Lineage: Eukaryota; Metazoa; Chordata; Aves; Passeriformes; Estrildidae
Description: domestica (Bengalese finch) lncRNA (ENSLSDG00000017598.1)
Source: RNAcentral
CAAAGUCCUUGCAGCAAGAGAACUUCUGUUUGGCCAUGGGCAAUGUGGACAACCCGUUGUCCACAUGCCUGGUGGGGGUCCCUCUGGUAGCCGACGAUUGGCCGGUUUCCAACUCAGACCUGCUCCGAACCACGGGCAGGAGACCUAACCCGGUCGACACUUGGGACGCGUGGACGAAAAUAUUGCCAAAUUCAAAAGAGGAGCCCCAAGAAUUGGAUCUGUUGGGGUCCUCUCCUGCCACUUACUGUGUAAAGUUUUAUUUUAAGAGGCCAAGUCAGAAUUGGCAUGGGAUUGACUUGGCCAAAAACACCUACAGAAAAGAUGUUACGCCAUUGAACAAAAAAUACAAUUCAGCUAGCUGGUGUAACUAUACAAGUCCAAUUAUCUCUGUUUCCUCCAUUCAUCCCAAGUCGUUGCCCCGGGGGAUGUUUCUUGUCUGUGGGGACAGAGUAUGGUCAGGCAUCCCAUCUCGGCUCCAGGGAGGACCGUGUAGCCUUGGCAAGCUUACUACCCUCACUCCAAAUAAAACCCAAAUUAUGGAUUGGAAGAAAGAGAGACAAUUGGCCAGACGAAAAAGAUCAUACGACCAAUUUGAUCAAAAUUGCGAUGACAAAAUUUACAAUUGGGGAAAAACAAAGAGGGUUGCCGCUUCCAUUUUUCUACCGUGGUAUGCGGUUGCUAAAGCCGUCGGUGAGCUUUCUCACCUGGAGUGCUGGAUAGCGAAGCAUGCCAACGCAUCGUCUGCCGCCCUUUCCGAUCUCUUGGCGGAUGAACAGACCACCAGGCAGGCCACCCUCCAAAAUCGGGCGUCAAUAGACUUUCUGCUGUUAGCCCAUGGCCACAGCUGUGAGGACUUUGAAGGACUGUGCUGUUUCAACUUGACAUCGAGAAGCAAAUCUAUUCAAGCCAGCAUCCAGCAGAUCCAGACACAAGUACAGCACCUACAAACUGAGACUUCGGCUGUGGACCCUGCAACCAAGUUGCUAUCUGAAUGGGGCGUCCCGGGAUGGGCAGCCUCGAUUAUUAGAGGACUUUUAUGGAUUUUAGUUAUCGUUCUUAUUAUUUUUAUUGCUUUAGUGAUCUUUAAGAAGAUGUUAGUUAAAACUCUAGGGAAUGUUUAUUUAAUUAAUAAAGAAGGGGGAGAUGCGGUAGGGGACUUGGGAAAAGCCCCCCCGAAUAUGCCUUGGGAGGAGGCUGUUGUAUAAAUUCCUGCCUCCAAGCUGCCCAUUGAAUCUACCACUCCCCUUAUGUUAUGUAACUGUCAGUUAUGUCCAUCUUUAUGUCAAUCAUUUUUGUACUUGCCUUUAGUUCCAGAAUGUUCCUAAGUUCUCUGUCUGUAAUUGGCUCUUCCCCGGUUAUCGCCCCCUUCCCUCAUCCCCAUUUGCUGUACCCCAAUUAUUCCAUCCCAACUCCUCCUCCGAACCCCAUUCCUACUGGACCCUUUGUACCCUGUCCCUCCUAUUUGCCACCUGUUAUAAGCCCCACCCCGCCCCUUAUUCGGGGCUCUCGGAGCCUGCUCCCUUGCUGAGCGGACGGGUCGCGGAUCCUCCCUGACACCCAGCC